Molecule: long non-coding RNA, 1131 nt
Filed under: Mus musculus (house mouse)
Lineage: Eukaryota; Metazoa; Chordata; Mammalia; Rodentia; Muridae
Description: predicted gene 826, transcript variant 1 (Gm826)
Source: RNAcentral
AGAGGUGUUGGAAGCAGAGGGAAGCAGGGAAGGGAAGUUGUCAGUGGCCUUCAGAUAAGAGGACAUUCGACCUUGGCUGAGACCAAGGUCCUCUCUGGAGGCCCCCCCAGCAUGCCAGCACAGCCCCAGGGGAGGCUAUGGAAGUCUCUUUGCCUUCAGCAGCCCCGCUCAGCCAGGGCUGGAUGUUGGGCCUCUCGUUAUCUGCUUAUGCCACAUGGAGGCAAAUCAUGCUGGGCACAGAAGACUUGGCUGGCCUGCAGGAAGCUGGAAGAGCUUCUGUCCCUCUGGGGUCAGAGGUGGCUGGAAUUUGGCAGUCGGGGACAUGGGAACUUCCUGUGACCCUCCCAGAGCUGAGACUGGCAGCAGGAACCAGACAGGGAGCUCGUGGUGGUCAAGAAACGACAGAGAGAUUUGCAUGGCCACUUCCUUCUACAGAGAAGCAUCGGCAGUGGGCUGAGCGGUCCUGAGGAAUUUCUGGAGGAGCCCUUGUGUCUGCGUCUCUUUCUCCAGGCAACUUCACCAAGCAGCAUCUGAUGUGUCAGGCUGGAGUCAUCGCAAGCUGCAAGACACUGAAGAUCAGGAGAUGAAGCCACAAUCUUAUCCUUUCCUGCAUCCUUAUCCCCACCCAGACCCUCGAGUACCCCAGAGACUUUGGAGAUCCGGAUGAAAAUCAACUUAACUCAGGAGACACCUAGUUUAGGCUUAUAGUCAUGUGGUUUGCUGUCGCUUCUGUGGGUAGUCUGAUAAUUGCUAAUCAUCUUGGUGUGGAAAUUGCUUCCAGGAACAUUGGUAGCACUUUCUGUGCCGACUGUCUCGUGUGACAAGGAAUAUUGUGACAUAAAGGCUCCGGGCCAGAGGCCGUGUCACGACAUGAAUGCACCUUGUGGUGCCCAAAUGACGGCAGAGAAGCCACGUUUGAAAUGGACAUAGACAAUCCCCCCACCCCCAUCUCCUGAAUUUUGAAUCCAGAAUGCAGGUAUCUUGAUCCAAAGAAUGAUAAACUGUACCUAGCCCCUUUGUGUUCCAUAAAGCAGGAACAGAUUUUAGCAUUCAGAAAUAAGUGCUGGUGGCACUUCACUGCCAGGCUUUCUUCUCUGGACACAUAUGUAAGUAAAUCAAGGUUGUGUUGAA